Molecule: ribosomal RNA, 207 nt
Filed under: uncultured Eubacteriales bacterium
Lineage: Bacteria; Bacillati; Bacillota; Clostridia; Eubacteriales
Description: uncultured Clostridiales bacterium partial 16S ribosomal RNA
Rfam family: Bacterial small subunit ribosomal RNA
Source: RNAcentral
AGCGUAGACGGUGAGGCAAGUCUGAUGUGAAAACCCGGGGCUCAACUCCGGGAUUGCAUUGGAAACUGUCUGACUUGAGUACUGGAGGGGUAAGCGGAAUUCCUGGUGUAGCGGUGAAAUGCGUAGAUAUCAGGAGGGACACCGGUGGCGAAGGCGGCUUACUGGACAGUAACUGACGUUGAGGCUCGAAAGCGUGGGGAGCAAACA